RNAcentral lists this ribosomal RNA (465 nucleotides) under uncultured bacterium. RNAcentral describes it as "partial 16S ribosomal RNA". It matches the Rfam family "Bacterial small subunit ribosomal RNA", at positions 28 to 507 of the family's 1533-position model. The record is from RNAcentral.
GACGAACGCUGGCGGCGUGCUUAACACAUGCCAGUCGAACGGAAAGGCCCUGCUUGCAGGGUACUCGAGUGGCGAACGGGUGAGUAACACGUGGGUGAUCUGCCCUGCACUUCGGGAUAAGCCUGGGAAACUGGGUCUAAUACCGGAUAGGAGCCAUUUUUAGCGUGAUGGUUGGAAAGUUUUUUCGGUGUAGGAUGAGCUCGCGGCCUAUCAGCUUGUUGGUGGGGUAAUGGCCUACCAAGGCGGCGACGGGUAGCCGGCCUGAGAGGGUGGACGGCCACAUUGGGACUGAGAUACGGCCCAGACUCCUACGGGAGGCAGCAGUGGGGAAUAUUGCACAAUGGGCGCAAGCCUGAUGCAGCGACGCCGCGUGGGGGAUGACGGCCUUCGGGUUGUAAACUCCUUUCGCUAGGGACGAAGCUUUUUGUGACGGUACCUAGAUAAGAAGCACCGGCUAACUACGUG